RNAcentral lists this ribosomal RNA (253 nucleotides) under uncultured bacterium. RNAcentral's name for it is "partial 16S ribosomal RNA". It matches the Rfam family "Bacterial small subunit ribosomal RNA", at positions 524 to 776 of the family's 1533-position model. The record is from RNAcentral.
AACGUAGGUGGCGAGCGUUAUCCGGAUUUACUGGGCGUAAAGCGCAUUCAGGCGGCUCAGCAAGUCGGGCAUGAAAUCUCUCGGCUCAACCGGGAGAGGCUGUCCGAUACUGUUGGGCUUGAGGGCAGUAGAGGAAGGUGGAAUUCCGCAUGUAGUGGUGAAAUGCGUAGAUAUGCGGAGGAACACCAGUGGCGAAAGCGGCCUUCUGGGCUGCUCCUGACGCUCAAAUGCGAAAGCUAGGGUAGCGAACGGG